GCUGGGCAUGAUGGCUCAUGCCUGUAAUCCUAGCACUUUGGGAGGCUGAGCUGGGUGGAUCACCUGAGGUCAGGAGUUCGAGAUCAGCCUGGCCAACAUGGUCUCUACUAAAAAUACAAAAAUUAGCUGGGCUUGGUGGCAGACGCCAGUAAUCCCAGCUACUAUGGAGGCUGAGGCAGGAGAAUUGCUUGAACCCAGGAGGUGGAAGUUGCAGUGAGCCGAGAUCAUGACACAGCACUCCAGCCUGGGCAACAGAGUGAGACUCUGUCUCA
RNAcentral lists this small RNA (272 nucleotides) under Macaca nemestrina (pig-tailed macaque). RNAcentral describes it as "Metazoan signal recognition particle RNA (ENSMNEG00000014410.1)". The record is from RNAcentral. Lineage: Eukaryota; Metazoa; Chordata; Mammalia; Primates; Cercopithecidae.